Molecule: transfer RNA, 74 nt
Filed under: Pteridomonas danica
Lineage: Eukaryota; Dictyochophyceae; Pedinellales
Description: tRNA-Leu
Rfam family: tRNA
About the family: Transfer RNA (tRNA) molecules are approximately 80 nucleotides in length. Their secondary structure includes four short double-helical elements and three loops (D, anti-codon, and T loops).
Source: RNAcentral
ACGGUUAUGGCGAAAUUGGUAAACGCACUAGAUUUAGGCUCUAUUUUUUGGAGGUUCAAGUCCUCUUAACCGUA